UACGUAGGGUGCGAGCGUUGUCCGGAAUUACUGGGCGUAAAGCGUGCGCAGGCGGUUUUGUAAGCCAGAUGUGAAAUCCCCGGGCUUAACCUGGGAAUGGCAUUUGGGACUGCAAGGCUUGAGUGCGGCAGAGGAGACUGGAAUUCCUGGUGUAGCAGUGAAAUGCGUAGAUAUCAGGAGGAAUACCGAUGGCGAAGGCAGGUCUCUGGGCUGACACUGACGCUCAUGCACGAAAGCGUGGGGAGCAAACAGG
This 253-nucleotide ribosomal RNA is filed under the name uncultured bacterium. RNAcentral's name for it is "partial 16S ribosomal RNA". It matches the Rfam family "Bacterial small subunit ribosomal RNA", at positions 524 to 776 of the family's 1533-position model. The record is from RNAcentral.